AACGGCCGUACCAUGCUGAAUAUACCGAUUCUCGUUAGAUCACCGAAGUCAAGCAUCAUUGGGCGCGGUCAGUACUUGGGUGGGUGACCACCUGGGAACACUGCGUGCCGUU
This is a non-coding RNA of Caerostris darwini, 112 nucleotides long. The record is from the annotation of a GenBank genome assembly. Lineage: Eukaryota; Metazoa; Arthropoda; Arachnida; Araneae; Araneidae.